This 342-nucleotide ribosomal RNA is filed under the name Clostridioides difficile. Its description in RNAcentral is "partial 23S ribosomal RNA". It matches the Rfam family "Bacterial large subunit ribosomal RNA", at positions 845 to 1187 of the family's 2925-position model. Lineage: Bacteria; Bacillati; Bacillota; Clostridia; Peptostreptococcales; Peptostreptococcaceae. The record is from RNAcentral.
AUAGCUGGUUCUCCCCGAAAUAGCUUUAGGGCUAGCCUCAAGGUGAGAGAUACGGAGGUAGAGCACUGAAUGUCCUAGGGGGUAUUGCACCUACCGAAGACUAUCAAACUCCGAAUGCCGUCAUCUUAUACUUGGGAGUCAGACUGUGGGUGAUAAGAUUCAUAGUCGAAAGGGCAACAGCUCAGAUCGUCAGCUAAGGUCACUAAAUGUAAGUUAAGUGGUAAAGGAUGUGGGAUUGCACAGACAAGCAGGAUGUUGGCUUAGAAGCAGCCACUCAUUCAAAGAGUGCGUAAUAGCUCACUGGUCGAGUGAUCCUGCGCCGAAGAUUUCCGGGGCUAAAAC